Molecule: small nucleolar RNA, 138 nt
Organism: Tachyglossus aculeatus (Australian echidna)
Lineage: Eukaryota; Metazoa; Chordata; Mammalia; Monotremata; Tachyglossidae
Source: RefSeq, a predicted model, not a curated record
CCCCUCUCAGGAUCACACUUGGAGAGUUUCCAAUAUUCUACCAGUCUCGGCUGUGGGAGGGAGAGUCAAGCAAAGGCAUACCCAUUCCAUUCCUAGCUCAGACAGCGGCUAAUGAGUGGAAGGCAAUUUGCUACAAGU